GACGAACGCUGGCGGCGUGCCUAAUACAUGCAAGUCGAGCGAAUCAAUAGGAGCUUGCUCCUGUUGGUUAGCGGCGGACGGGUGAGUAACACGUGGGCAACCUGCCUGUAAGACUGGGAUAACACCGGGAAACCGGUGCUAAUACCGGAUAAUCCUUUUCCUCUCAUGAGGAAAAGUUGAAAGUCGGUUUCGGCUGACACUUACAGAUGGGCCCGCGGCGCAUUAGCUAGUUGGUGAGGUAACGGCUCACCAAGGCGACGAUGCGUCGCGGACCUGAGAGGGUGAUCGGCCACGCUGGGACUGGGACACGGCCCAGACUCCUACGGGAGGGAGCAGUAGGGAAUCUUCCACAAUGGACGAAAGUCUGAUGGAGCAACGCCGCGUGAGCGAUGAAGGCCUUCGGGUCGUAAAGCUCUGUUGUUAGGGAAGAACAAGUAUCGGAGUAACUGCCGGUACCUUGACGGUACCUAACCAGAAAGCCACGGCUAACUACGUGCCAGCCGCCGCCGUAA
RNAcentral lists this ribosomal RNA (512 nucleotides) under uncultured bacterium. RNAcentral describes it as "partial 16S ribosomal RNA". It matches the Rfam family "Bacterial small subunit ribosomal RNA", at positions 28 to 523 of the family's 1533-position model. The record is from RNAcentral.